This 792-nucleotide ribosomal RNA is filed under the name uncultured bacterium. Its description in RNAcentral is "partial 16S ribosomal RNA". The record is from RNAcentral.
CUACCAGGGUAUCUAAUCUUGUUUGCUCCCCCACGCUUUCGUGCAUGAGCGUCAGUGUUAUCCCAGGAGGCUGCCUUCGCCAUCGGUGUUCCUCCGCAUAUCUACGCAUUUCACUGCUACACGCGGAAUUCCACCUCCCUCUGACACACUCUAGCCCGGUAGUUAAAAAUGCAGUUCCAAAGUUAAGCUCUGGGAUUUCACAUCUUUCUUUCCGAACCGCCUGCGCACGCUUUACGCCCAGUAAUUCCGAUUAACGCUUGCACCCUACGUAUUACCGCGGCUGCUGGCACGUAGUUAGCCGGUGCUUAUUCUGCAGGUACCGUCAGUUUCGCGGGGUAUUAACCCGCGACGUUUCUUUCCUGCCAAAAGUGCUUUACAACCCGAAGGCCUUCAUCGCACACGCGGGAUGGCUGGAUCAGGGUUUCCCCCAUUGUCCAAAAUUCCCCACUGCUGCCUCCCGUAGGAGUCUGGGCCGUGUCUCAGUCCCAGUGUGGCUGGUCGUCCUCUCAAACCAGCUACGGAUCGUCGCCUUGGUGAGCCGUUACCCCACCAACUAGCUAAUCCGAUAUCGGCCGCUCCAAUAGUGCAAGGUCUUGCGAUCCCCUGCUUUCCCCCGUAGGGCGUAUGCGGUAUUAGCUACGCUUUCGCGUAUUUAUCCCCCGCUACUGGGCACGUUCCGAUACAUUACUCACCCGUUCGCCACUCGCCACCAGACCGAAGUCCGUGCUGCCGUUCGACUUGCAUGUGUAAGGCAUCCCGCUAGCGUUCAAUCUGAGCCAGGAUCAAACCCUG